GCCGCGGAGGGGGGAGCUCCCCGAUCCCCCCUCCCCUCUCGCGCGUUGGUGGGAGGCGCCGGCCGAGGCUAUAAAAGGGCGGGCGGGCGCGCGCGGCGCGCAGUGCGGGCGCCACGUGGAGCGGACGCGGAACGGGCGGCGCCGCCAUGGCCUCCAACGAUUACAGCCAGACGGCCACCCAAAGUUACGGCGCCUACCCCGCCCCCCCCGGGCAGAGCUACUCGCAGGGGGGGGGGCAGAGCUACGGCCAACAGAGCUACGGGGGGUACGGACAGAGCUCGGACACGGGGUACGGACAGGGGGGGUACAGCUCCUCCUACCAACAGAGCCAGAGCGGUGAGUAAAGAUAAAAAUGGAAAAAA
This is a long non-coding RNA of Zonotrichia leucophrys gambelii, 362 nucleotides long. RefSeq lists it as uncharacterized. The transcript is spliced from 3 exons. NCBI's taxonomy places the organism in Eukaryota, Metazoa, Chordata, Aves, Passeriformes, Passerellidae. The record is from RefSeq and is a predicted model, not a curated record.